ACGCUUGAGGAGCGUUGCGACGGAUCAUUCCGCCAGGCUCAAGCAUUCCAGGGUAUGCCGCGUUCGCGCGGCACCAUGAAACGGCGCUCACCUUAG
This 96-nucleotide non-coding RNA is filed under the name Bordetella sp. RNAcentral describes it as "SAH sequence". It matches the Rfam family "SAH (S-adenosyl-L-homocysteine) riboswitch aptamer". RNAcentral also lists the same sequence under 1 other name. Lineage: Bacteria; Pseudomonadati; Pseudomonadota; Betaproteobacteria; Burkholderiales; Alcaligenaceae. The record is from RNAcentral.